GCGGGGGGGCGCGGAGGGGCGGCGGGGGCCGUGAUUAGCGCUGACAAUAAACUGUGCCGGGGAACGCUAAUGCCGCUGUUAGCCAAAGUGUAUACGCAGGAAAAAAUUGUGAUAGUCGGCGCGCCGGGCUUGUGGGACCCCACCCAGCACCUGGGCUUGUGCACUGUGAAAUUAAUCAGAGAAUCGGUGAGGUUGGAAAAGAGCUCUGAGGCCAUCGAGUCGAACCCGUGAGCGAACACCACCUUGUCAAGCAGACCAUGGCACCGAGUGCCACAUCCAGCCUCUCCUUAAACACCUCGGGGAGGGUGACUCUGCUACCUCCCUGCGCAGCCCAUUCCAGUGUCAAAUCACCCUUCCUGUGAAGAAAUUCCUCCUAAUGUCCAACCUAAACCUCUGCUGGCGCAACUUAAAACCACGCCCUGUCACUUGUCACCAUGGUGAAAAGGCCGACCCUCACCCGGGUACAGGCUCCUUUCAGGGAGCUGUAGAGAGAAUAAGCGAUUUCUCUUUCAGGUACCAGACCCUUGGGGAGAGGACAUGCACAGGGGACUGCUUCUCUCCCAGGGGCACCGGAGGUAUAACAAGAAAAGUCCCUUGGCUUUGCCGUGCCAGUGUCCAAGGGAAAGGCAUAGCUGGAUGUGGGGCCAGGAGACGUGGAUUCAGCAGCUCCAGGAGCCUGGCAGACAAGGAGUCAGCUGGCAGGGCUGGUGUUUUUUCAGUGGAAUUGUGUGGAAUGCAGUGCGUGGUGUCAAAAAUAAAGAAGAGGUUCAGAUUGUCAUGAGCUCUUGCUUUUCACAUAGGAACUAAAUGUGACAGUUUAUAUUUGUCAAAAUAGAAAAACUCCCAUUGCCAAAAAUGACAAUUCUAGGAUUAUGCUUUGGCAGAGUAAGUGUUUCAGCUCAGAACCUGGAAAAGUUUUCUGAACUGCUUACUGAGAUGCAGGUAAACUAGGCUGCUCUAACACUCACACACACAAACUUUUUCCCUAAUGCCUGAUGUGAAAUGCUUGAGCUACAUGACAGCUUAGGCAUGCUUUUCGCUAGGGCCUUUUGCUUCUUUCUAUCUAUCUCUGCCUCUGAUACUUCCUUUUGCCAUAGCUUCCUUCAGAUACUAGAACUGUUACAAUUUAGACAUCAGUGAUAUGGUCCAUGUCCCUCUGCUCAGCAUGUGUUUGGGGUAUGUGCUUGUGUUAUGGUUAUCCAUCUUCACCCUUUAUAAGACAAUAAAGGGGGAAAACUCAAGUAUUUCUAGGGUGUGAUUUAUUUAACCUGUGUCAAACAUUCAGAAUCAUGCCUCCUGUGCCUGGGAAAUCUCUGAUGCCUUACUGAGUGCAAGGAGUCUAGACACCUCAUUUGGAUGGCACUUGCUUUGCAGAUGUCUAAUCAGCCUGAGGAAAAUCUGUCCUUUGGGGAGCUGUGUUCUCACUGUGAGAUGUUCCAAGUUUUUCUCUUUCCAUGGUAUGGAACAGAUUCAUUUUAAGAAGCCUUAGAUCAGCACAUAAAAGAAUAUGAGUGAAAAUGACAAUAUAAAAAAAAAACAACCUAAGGCAUUGAUGUCAUGAGAAAAGUUCCUUGCCCCACAUGGUGUGGGAAAGGAGGACAGAAUAGUAAUUAGACAUAAUUCUAGGUCAUUAAAUUGGGAUGGCACCCAUGCACAGAACUGUGGAAACCAGUGAGAGAAAUUUUUUAAAAAGUCACUUAUGCAACACGACAAAAGACACUUAAUUAAGCAUGGUUUCAGAGGGAUUUUAAGCAGUUUCCUGUGAAGUUGAGGCUUUUUGUUUGCUGUUCUAGUAUGUUGAACUUCUCUGCUAACAAGCCGGGCAAAAGCGUCACACACAUUUGAAGAAAAGUGGAAAGAACAAAUCUCUCUCUGGACAAUCUGGGAAGGAAGUGGGACACCCCAGGACUCUGCCCACAGCCUCCCAUGCAGAGGGAACCAAGGCCUGCAUCCACAGAGCAUGAGCUCAGGUCCUGGCAUCUCCUCUGCAGCCUCCAGCACACAGAAACAGACUGCCUCGCUCAGCAUUGCCCAGUUCAUUUGAUUUAAUGAAAUGCUUGAUUUCUGACUUUGAUUAUACACCUGCCCCCAACCUAAAAGACAGGCAGAGACAGAUUUUCUGCUUCCACAUACCCCUCUGAAUUUAGUAAAUGUGAAUCAAUGGAUAGGACAGGGUUAGAUUGAGGAGCACAACAGCUGGUGCUGCCCUGAGUGUGACAGCCUUGCAAACCUGAGGAAAAGGGGGGAUCUUCCCCCUAUUUGACUGUAGAAAUAGGAGUUCUGGGGGUGCAGGCUUUCUGCAUGACUUCCUUGAAGAAUCUGCCCCAAACAGCAAAAGACUCUUAGACCUACAAGUUAGCUUGCCUGGUACACUGUUAUUUCCUUUUAGAUCUUGGGCUUUUGUUUCAGUCUUGGGCUCCUAAAGCACGUUCAGAAGUGGGAAUGCAAGCUGCUCUUGAAUUCAGUCACAGCCCAGUCAGUCCUUGCAGUUGCAAUUUUGUGUGAGAAGUUGUGUUACCUGUCCAUGUAGGUUAGGCAGUACAUUUAUUUGUGCCUUGGAUGAGGCAGGAUGGGAUGACCAAUAAUUGUGCAUGCUGUUCAUGCAUGAGGACAAAAGUUGUUUUAUAUUUUCUCGUACAAAAGCUGCAUGUAGGGAAAGGACUGUCAGUUUGUGCUGUGCCUUUAUAGCAUCUGACCUGCAGGAUCCUGGCCCACGACCAAAGCCUGUAGGCACCAAACUGAUAAUAUGUAAUGAUAAUAUAUGGCACUGGCAAAAGCUAAACAUAGUUAAUGGAGACCCAAGCUUAGUGGCCAGAUUUCCAACAUUACAGGAAAACAAGCCUGAAGGGUUUCAGUUUUAGUUAGACACAGCACCCUACUCUCCCUCCAUACUAGGAAUGAGCUCUUAGGGAGAAAAACACAUAAAAAUCACAACUUUUAUGGAGACUAUGUUCAUUCCAUGAAGAAAUCCAGAAUGUACUUGAUACAAGUACUCACUUCAGUCUCAUAGAUUUAUCAAGAGAAUUGCUGAAAAGGGUCUUCCAGCUUUACAGGGAAAAAAUUCACUUUCCAAAAGUCAUUAGCAACUACUAGAAAUUUGACUGAGAGCCACUGAAUAUUACCAGUUUUGAAAAUCCGGUUACUGCAUAUCCAAAAUGUGAAUGCUGAAACAGUGAGCUUGGUCUUUUAAAAAUUAUAGCCAAAGAAUAUGUGUGUGUGUGUGUCUAUAUAUAAAUACAUCUUUUUAAAUGCAUUUUGAGUUACCCAGAGCUAAACAGAAUCAAAAAUUGCUGAUAUGUAAAUAUCACUGUAAUGUAAAUAUAUUCACCAUUUAAUCCUGAUAAAUACUGGAUUGUAGACUUCUGAACAGAGACUGACAAUUAUUGGAAACCUUGUGGUCAUCUCAAGUAUACAGUGCCUCAAUUAAAAUAAAACCACAAAAUCCUUUUCCUUUUUUAAAAGUACCCUGUAGCAUAUAAUUUAUUUGGUUGGACUCUACAAAUAUACAAUUAUAUCAUGCCAGAAGAACUUGAGAACCACUUUUUUCUUGUUCCCAGGGUCUCUUGACUGUUGGUAAGACGUUACAGUCAUAAUGAUAGAAUCGGUUUACAGUUGCAUAUUCUGCCAAAUAGCUCACAAAUUAUAUUUGGCAAACAACACUGCCUCUGUUUCACAAAGAUAAUGAUCUGAUGUUUUGUUUAUGUGGAAAGGAAAAUAUUAUUUAAGAGAUUGUGACAGAAUUUAAAAAAACUUUGUGCGGUAUUCUCAACAUGUGAUACAUUUAAAAGUUACCACUCUAUUAAAUACAGAGUAACACAGAUUUUCAACUGAUCCUUCAAAAAAAAAAAAAAAA
Molecule: non-coding RNA, 3853 nt
Organism: Zonotrichia albicollis (white-throated sparrow)
Lineage: Eukaryota; Metazoa; Chordata; Aves; Passeriformes; Passerellidae
Source: RefSeq, a predicted model, not a curated record